Molecule: ribosomal RNA, 429 nt
Filed under: Actinomycetes bacterium
Lineage: Bacteria; Bacillati; Actinomycetota; Actinomycetes
Description: Actinobacteria bacterium partial 16S ribosomal RNA
Rfam family: Bacterial small subunit ribosomal RNA
Source: RNAcentral
UAGGGAAUCUUCCGCAAUGGGCGAAAGCCUGACGGAGCAACGCCGCGUGAGAGAUGAAGGUCUUCGGAUCGUAAAACUCUGUUAUUAGGGAAGAACAAAUGUGUAAGUAACUAUGCACGUCUUGACGGUACCUAAUCAGAAAGCCACGGCUAACUACGUGCCAGCAGCCGCGGUAAUACGUAGGUGGCAAGCGUUAUCCGGAAUUAUUGGGUGUAAAGCGCGCGUAGGCGGUUUUUUAAGUCUGAUGUGAAAGCCCACGGCUCAACCGUGGAGGGUCAUUGGAAACUGGAAAACGUGAGUGCAGAAGAGGAAAGUGGAAUUCCAUGUGUAGCGGUGAAAUGCGCAGAGAUAUGGAGGAACACCAGUGGCGAAGGCGACUUUCUGGUCUGUAACUGACGCUGAUGUGCGAAAGCGUGGGGAUCAAACAGG